Molecule: ribosomal RNA, 253 nt
Filed under: uncultured bacterium
Lineage: Bacteria
Description: partial 16S ribosomal RNA
Rfam family: Bacterial small subunit ribosomal RNA
Source: RNAcentral
UACGAAGGGGGCGAGCGUUGUUCGGAUUUACUGGGCGUAAAGGGCGCGUAGGCGGCCCUCCUUGUCGCGUGUGAAAGCCCCGGGCUCAACCUGGGAAUUGCGCGCGAAACGGGGGGGCUUGAGUUCGGGAGAGGAGCGUGGAAUUCCCAGUGUAGAGGUGAAAUUCGUAGAUAUUCGCAAGAACACCAGUGGCGAAGGCGGCUCACUGGACCGUUGUUGACGCUGAGGUGCGAAAGCGUGGGGAGCAAACAGG